This is a long non-coding RNA of Venturia canescens, 1179 nucleotides long. RefSeq lists it as uncharacterized. NCBI's taxonomy places the organism in Eukaryota, Metazoa, Arthropoda, Insecta, Hymenoptera, Ichneumonidae. The transcript has 5 exons. The record is from RefSeq and is a predicted model, not a curated record.
CAAUUUUCUAGCUACUUAUGAAGAAACAGAAGAAAAAGCACUUUUACUGGAACAGAAACCGUAUGCUUACUCAACAGAUAGUGAGAAAAAUACGAAGAAAAAAGCAAUUCAGGAUAAAAAAAGUUUCAAAUUCAAAUUUCUUCCAUUGAAAGAUAGUUUGAUUUUGGAAAAACUGAAUGACAUAAGCUUCGACCUCUGUGAUAAUUUGAUGCCCAUCGAAGUAUCGGAGAAAGAAAAAAGUAAAAAUAUAACUUAAGCAACGAAAACUGAAAUUCCAAGGAAAAAACCAUCUCGACAAAAGCUUUCCGAUCCUAUGGAAAGUUCUGAGAAAGAAUCUAGCGACAAUACUUCAUUGGAGAGUUUGAGCAGUUCUUCUAUCGCAUCACCAAUAAAGCAAAAUUGUCAAAAAAGUUCAGGAAAAUUUGUCGCUAUUAAAAAAAAGAUAUACUCUCUGCGAGCACCAGCAAGUAUUCCGAGGGCUUGAAUUUCUUUCAAACUGAUAUACAUCCUCAAAAAUGUUCAACAACCUUUGGGAAUGCCAAGAAAAAUUUACCUUCGGCUCGUACUAAUCUGUGUUUCGAAGAUCGGCUGUUCCAAUUCUUUGGGGAAAAGCUGAAUUCAUUGAAUUAUAAGAUUGGUCAAAUCCAAGGACAAAUACUUGACCUGUCAGCGGCUAAAAAUUCCAUUCAAAACUCUAUCCAGACAAUCAAACCAACAAAUGAUGAUAUUAUUGAUUGGAAUAAAAACUUCACUGAAGAGGUUCUUGAUUUCUCACUUCCAUGUCGAAAUCAUGAUGAAUUCAAUAAACUCAAUGAAGAGUUAGCAAAGAAUGAGCAGUUUUGGAAAAAACUGAUACGUCAAAUACUACUGUCUAUUAAUAAGAAAACUGGCCUGCGGAGAAACAUGGGUUAAAUAAUUCGAAAAUUCAUGUCACGCGAUUUAGCUCUUUCGUUCAUAACAUUGAAAGCAAUAACUGGCAAACAUGUGUUCAGCGAAUCCAAACUAUACUUGUAUCUUAAAGAUGCAGUUUCAUCAGUUUUCAAAGAGGAAGAUGGUGCGAAUUUAACAGAACCAAUAUUUAAAGAAUCUGUUCGAAUCGAUUUUAACAACGCUAAGGAUUGGGACGGCCAAGGAAAUAUUCGAAAAAAAUGCGCAAAAAACUUGAACGUCACAUUAAAA